GAUGAACGCUAGCGGCAGGCCUAACACAUGCAAGUCGAGGGAGAAGCCCUUUCGGGGGCAGAAACCGGCGCACGGGUGCGUAACGCGUAUGCAACCUACCUUUCACAGGGGGAUAGCCCGAAGAAAUUUGGAUUAAUACCCCAUAAUAUUAUUGGAUGGCAUCAUUUGAUAAUUAAAACUGCGGUGGUGAAAGAUGGGCAUGCGUCCUAUUAGCUAGUUGGAGUGGUAACGGCACCCCAAGGCUACGAUAGGUAGGGGUCCUGAGAGGGAGAUCCCCCACACUGGUACUGAGACAGGGACCAGACUCCUACGGGAGGCAGCAGUGAGGAAUAUUGGUCAAUGGUCGGAAGACUGAACCAGCCAUGCCGCGUGCAGGAAGAAUGCCUUAUGGGUUGUAAACUGCUUUUAUAUGGGAAGAAUAAGGUGUACGUGUACAUUGAUGACGGUACCAUAUGAAUAAGCAUCGGCUAACUCCGUG
Molecule: ribosomal RNA, 478 nt
Filed under: uncultured bacterium
Lineage: Bacteria
Description: partial 16S ribosomal RNA
Rfam family: Bacterial small subunit ribosomal RNA
Source: RNAcentral